This 1286-nucleotide ribosomal RNA is filed under the name Rhipidogammarus rhipidiophorus. RNAcentral's name for it is "partial 28S ribosomal RNA". It matches the Rfam family "Eukaryotic large subunit ribosomal RNA", at positions 115 to 899 of the family's 3401-position model. The record is from RNAcentral. Lineage: Eukaryota; Metazoa; Arthropoda; Malacostraca; Amphipoda; Gammaridae.
AACCUCCCAGGCCACCCGGCCUGCGGCGGAAUGUUGCGUAAAGGGAAAGGUCGUAGUCAAACCCCGCAGCCACGCGAACUCUAAGUCAGCCACGAAUAGGCUAUCCCAACUAACGGCGGGAAAGACUCCACGGAGGGUGUAAGACCCGUGUGGGCGCGUGUCAAAGCUGUGCGGGUUCGGCCUUUUUUCCCUGAGAGUCGCGUUGCUUGAGCAUGCAGCGCUAAGAAGGUCGUAAACUCGAUCUAAGGCUAAAUACCUCCACAGAACCGAUAGCGAACAAGUACCGUGAGGGAAAGUUGAAAAGCACUCUGGAGAGAGAGUCAAAAGACCGUGAAACCGCUCAGAGUAUAAGCCUAUGGCUACUUGGAAGGCAUGUCGUUAGCGGGACGCCGCUGUUGCCAGCAAUGGUGAACGGGCGUUACCUUGCCUCUGUUGCGGCUCGUCAGGUAGGGGGGUCGAGUCCACAUCCCGCCGACGUGCGGGGAGUUCUCUGGCGCGUUGGGGCCUGGCGUGAGAUCCUCGUGGUCGAUAUCGUUGGCUUUUCUUCACGCUGGGUUCUCCUUAAGCACGGACGUUCUGACUCGGAGGCAAGAUACGACAAACAGCCCACCACGGCACGUUGUGAGGUCACCCACAGGCUCGACUUUCGAUCGUGGCUCUUGACGCCGAGCAAGCGCGAUGCGUGUUGCUUUGAGAAAGAGUUCGCUGCUGCUACGAACUCUUUUAACACGCGCUCAUUGUCAGAGUCGGGCGAUGACUGAGUACUGGUAUGAUCCUCUUGCGACGAGCCGGCUUCUGGCCGAGUUUUUCUGGUGCCCAGGGCUCCCGCAUGUGCCGCGGGAGACCGACACAACGACGGAUUGGCCUGAGUCCUCUAAGUCGGGCGCCGGAACGAGUGGUGUAAAGUCCAAGACCAUUGGUCACGUCUCGAAACACGGGCCAAGGAGUAUAGCAUGUGUGCAAGUCUAAGGGUCUCACAAAACCCGAAGGAGAAGUGAAAGCAAGUUUGCGGCGGGUGAUCCACGGAGAUCCCGUCAGCUAGAGAGAGAGAGAGUCUCUCUCUCUCUCUCCGGCUUUGGCUGAGUUGAUCCUGCAGCGCUACUCAAAAUGUCUCGUACGCUCAGGCGCAAACUCCAGGCUCACGUUUCGCACCUCGGUCUUCGGACUGUGCUGUGAGCACUGUGGAGCAUGCAUGCUAUGACCCGAAAGAUAGUGAACUAUGCCUGGCGAGGGCGAAGCCCCAGGAAACUGGGGUGGAGGCCCGUAGCCGUUGUGACGUGCAAAUC